ACCGAACGCUGGCGGCAUGCCUAACACAUGCAAGUCGAACGAGACCUUCGGGUCUAGUGGCGCACGGGUGCGUAACGAGUGGGAAUCUGCCAUCUGGUUCGGAACAACAGUUGGAAGCGACUGCUAAUACCGGAUAAUGACCUCGGUCCAACGAUCUAUCGCGUGAGGAUGAGCCCGCGUCGGAUUAGCUGGUUGGUAGGGGAAAAGCUCACCAAGGGGACGUUCCGUAGCUGGUCUGAGAGGAUGAGCAGCCACACUGGGACUGAGACACGGCCCAGACUCCUACGGGAGGCAGCAGUGGGGAAUAUUGGACAAUGGGCGAAAGCCUGAUCCAGCAAUGCCGCGUGAGUGAUGAAGGCCUUAGGGUUGUAAAGCUCUUUUACCCGGGAUGAUAAUGACAGUACCGGGAGAAUAAGCCCCGGCUAACUCCGUGCCAGCCGCCGCAGUAA
This 449-nucleotide ribosomal RNA is filed under the name uncultured bacterium. RNAcentral describes it as "partial 16S ribosomal RNA". It matches the Rfam family "Bacterial small subunit ribosomal RNA", at positions 30 to 523 of the family's 1533-position model. The record is from RNAcentral.